GACGAAGGAUGCAAGCGUUAUCCGGAUUCAUUGGGUUUGAAGGGAGCGUAGGUGGCCCGGUAAGUCAGUGGUGAAAUCUCGCAGCUUAACUGCGAAACUGCCAUUGAUACUGCUGGGCUUGAGUACAGAUGCCGUUGGCGGAAUAUGACAUGUAGUGGUGAAAUACAUAGAGAUGUCAUAGAACACCGAUUGCGAAGGCAGCUAACGAAACUGUAACUGACACUGAGGCUCGAAAGUGCGGGGAUCAAACAGG
RNAcentral lists this ribosomal RNA (253 nucleotides) under uncultured bacterium. RNAcentral describes it as "partial 16S ribosomal RNA". It matches the Rfam family "Bacterial small subunit ribosomal RNA", at positions 524 to 776 of the family's 1533-position model. The record is from RNAcentral.